This 82-nucleotide ribosomal RNA is filed under the name Mycobacterium sp. Lineage: Bacteria; Bacillati; Actinomycetota; Actinomycetes; Mycobacteriales; Mycobacteriaceae. The record is from RNAcentral.
UACGGCGGCCACAGCGACAGGGAAACGCCCGGUCCCAUCCCGAACCCGGAAGCUAAGCCUGUCAGCGCCGAUGAUACUGCCC